This 402-nucleotide ribosomal RNA is filed under the name bacterium. RNAcentral describes it as "partial 16S ribosomal RNA". It matches the Rfam family "Bacterial small subunit ribosomal RNA", at positions 355 to 776 of the family's 1533-position model. The record is from RNAcentral.
UGGGGAAUUUUGCACAAUGGGGGAAACCUUGAUGCAGCGACGCCGCGGGAUGUAGAAGGCCUUCGGGUUGUAAAAAUCUUUUCUAUGGGAAGAAAAUGACAGUACCAUAGGAAUAAGGACCGGCUAAUUACGUGCCAGCAGCCGCGGUAAUACGUAAGGUCCGAGCGUUGUCCGGAAUCAUUGGGCGUAAAGGGUACGUAGGCGGGUAAGCAAGUUAGAAGUGAAAUCCUAUAGCUCAACUAUAGUAAGCUUUUAAAACUGCUCAUCUUGAGGUAUGGAAGGGAAAGUGGAAUUCCCUGUGUAGCAGUGAAAUGCGCUAAUAUUAGGAGGGAUACCGGUGGCGAAGGCGGCUUUCUGGCCCUAACCUGACGCUGAGGUACGAAAGCGUGGGUAGCAAACAGG